Molecule: RNA transcript, 1007 nt
Organism: Sapajus apella (tufted capuchin)
Lineage: Eukaryota; Metazoa; Chordata; Mammalia; Primates; Cebidae
Gene name: prostaglandin E synthase 3-like
Exons: 2
Source: RefSeq, a predicted model, not a curated record
UCAAGCCUGCUGCUGCUGCCCUCACCUGAGGGGAGCGAGAAGAGGCUGCGCCCGCGGAGGAACGCAGAGUCUCGGAGUCGCCAUGGGAGUGGAGCAUCUUCUUCCUGGCAGCAGCCGCCACCGGAUGCCAGUCCACCUGUUUCCCUAUCCCACGCAGCCUGCUUCUGCAACGUGAUUUGAUAGAAGGGACUAUAUCUUCCUUGAAUUUUGUGUUGAAGACAGUAAAGAUGUUAAUGUCAGUUUUGAGAAAUCCAAACUUGCAUUCAGUUGUCUUGGAGGAAAUGAUAAUUUUGUUCAUUUGAAGCAUUUUGAUCUUUUUCACUGUAUUGAGCCAAUGAUAUCAAGCGUAAACGAACGGACUGAUGGAUUUUAGUUGUUUACGAAAAGGAAAAUCUGGCCAGUCAUGGCCAACAUUAACAAAAGAAAGGGUAAAUCUUAACUGGCUUAGUGUGGACUUCAGUCAUUGGAAAGAUUGUGAAGAUUAUUCAGACGAAGCCAUGUCUGAUUUUGAUCGUUUCUCUGAGAACAACAUGGGUGGUGAAGAGGAUGUAGAUUUACCAGAUGGAGCAGAUGAUCAUUCACAGGAUAGUGAAAAUGAAAAAAUGCCAGAUCUGGAGUAAGGAAUAUUGUCAUUACCUGGAUUUUGAGAGAGAAAAAUAACUUCUCUGCAAGAUUUUAUAAUUGAGAGAAUUCCUGAGUUGAUAGCUCUAAAGGCAGAUGGUGUCGUUGCCUACUUAAACUUAUUUUUCAACCUGUUUGGUUUUCAAAAGGCCUCACUAAGGGUUGAUAUGUACCAUUGUAUGGGGCAAUUUUGAGUCAGCUAAGGCAAUAACUUUAUGCAUGAACAUUUUCCAACUUCCAUGAAACUGUUGAGGUCCUAGACAAUUGAUGCAGCAGUUGUGAUAAAUACAAACAUCUCACCUAAGUCUCCUUUCCUUCAUAACGUAGAUACUGACAUGAUAGGAAGCUCUCAGCUUGGGGAAAGAGAACUAAACAUUAGAUUAUAG